This is a non-coding RNA of Gammaproteobacteria bacterium, 74 nucleotides long. NCBI's taxonomy places the organism in Bacteria, Pseudomonadati, Pseudomonadota, Gammaproteobacteria. The record is from Rfam.
GCCCCGGUAGCUCAGUUGGAAAGAGCGGUCCCCUCCUAAGGGACAGGUCGGCCGUUCGAAUCGGCUCUGGGGCA